UGAAAGAUAAGCUAAUAAAGCUAUUGGGCUCAUAACCCAACAAUGGACCUCCCUCUUUCAA
This 61-nucleotide transfer RNA is filed under the name Odontoglaja guamensis. RNAcentral's name for it is "tRNA-Met". The record is from RNAcentral. Lineage: Eukaryota; Metazoa; Mollusca; Gastropoda; Cephalaspidea; Aglajidae.